This 142-nucleotide unclassified non-coding RNA is filed under the name soil metagenome. Its description in RNAcentral is "partial internal transcribed spacer 1". The record is from RNAcentral.
CCUGAGUACUACACUCUAUACCCUUUGUGAACCUAUUAUAACCUGUUGCUUCGGCGGCGCCCGCUCGGGCGUGCCCGCCGGUAUCAUCAGAAUCUCUGUUUCGAACCCGACGAUACAUCUGAGUGUUCUAAGCGAACUGUUA